This 3167-nucleotide long non-coding RNA is filed under the name Manihot esculenta (cassava). RNAcentral's name for it is "long non-coding RNA (MESC_LNC006851)". Lineage: Eukaryota; Viridiplantae; Streptophyta; Magnoliopsida; Malpighiales; Euphorbiaceae. The record is from RNAcentral.
UUUGCUGUACAUUUUAUUUACCAGCAAUACAGAUCCAACUUCUGAAGAGAAAAAAAAAAAAAAAAACCAUCUUCUAUAAGCCAAUAGAAGGUUGAAAAAGAAGAAAAAGAGAAAGAUCAUACUACCUUAGGGUACAAAAUUUAUAAAAUUUCAAAUUAGUAAAUACUAUACAAGAACAGCAAAAGCAAGAUCAAGACUCGAAAGAGACAUCUGACUGAUACCCAGUUGGAGUUGCUGGUGUUGAUGGGGUUGAAAUGUGGAAACCUCCAUUUUCUUUGUGCUUUUUGCCAUUUCCAGCAAUUGCAGCUGCAGAUCUGAUGAUGCCCUUGACGAUCUUGAUCUUGAUUUGUCCUCUCUUUGGGGGAAUGAUCUGGUGGGACGUGAUGGUAGAUUUAUUAGAUGCAGUUGAAUCCAUUUUCUCGGAAAAGGGUGGAUAGGACAAUGAAGACGAAAGAGAAAGUGAGAAAUGGAGAGGUGAUGAUUUGCUUAGUGAAGCAAAGAGAUUGGAGACUAUUAUAUAGAGCAUAGCUUCAGACAGAUAAAUCUAGUUCCUUGCCCACCAAGAUUUGACAAAGUCCUCGAGUCUGGAAGCCAUUGACAACGUGAUUAAUUUUUUUUUUUUAAAAAAAUAAAAUUCAAUUUCAAAAAAAUUGUUAUUACUAAAAGAAAUUCCUAUAUAAUUUGAAAUGAAUUUCAAAAAAAUUAAUUUAACAAUAUUUUUUAGAUAAAAAACCCACAUCAAAUUUGAACUUACAUGAAUAUCUAUUGAUGCUAUAAGAUCCAGCUAAAAUAGGAUUUACAUGAACAUCAAAUUUGAACUUACAUGAAUAUCCAUCAAAUUUUUUUAGCUUUUCUUUUGUUUGCUAGUGACGUCUAUCGGCCUUACUGUUACUAGGCCUCCUGUCUCUGUCAUACGAAUAUGUACGUAUAAAAGUAUCAGACGUCUACUCCAUGCUAAACGGCCAUUUAAUUUUUUCCAUGGCACGCGUGUAAAUAGAUCUACUAGGUGGAUGGGUCGGUUAUCCCCUCUCCUGCUAAGCCUCAUGACCGAGCUGGGGGUGAAGAGACUAAGGCCUAAGGGAGGCCCGAUCUCAAGGCCGAAUGGUCUGGGCUGGCCCAUUUAAGAGACUUCGUGAACCUUGUACUAGUGUUGUUAUCAUGGACUCGGCCUCGUAUCGAGGUGGUGAAACCCAGCGGUCAUCAAUUGCUCCUUUAUCUUCUCAUCAGUUAUUACAUAAAUGAUGAGGGGUAAAUAUCGAGAACUCAUUAUGACCGCGUGGUCCGAGGACUGUCCCUCUUAAAAUGUCUCUUCUUCUCUUUACUGUUUCAAAAUUCGAAUUUUCUUAGCCUUCACAGAACUCUUAUUCUUCUCUGUUCUCUGCGCGCUCCGCUUACUCUGUCCUUCUGCCCCCAUCGUUUUCAAGGUACACUUUUCACUUCACCAUGGAUAGCCCGAAACUUUCUGAUGUCAUUAAUUAAGAGUCUAGUAUUACUCCGUCCACCCUAAAAAAAUUCUUUUAUCGGGAGUAUCUGGAUACCCCUCUUUUCCAUAUCCGGACUCCCUAUAGGAAUGAGAAGAUCGUCCUUCCCGAUCUUCCUCCCUCUGGUCUAAUCGACCCUCAGAGGGACCGCAAUUUGGUCUUCUUUGUCAAACAACGAGAGUAUGGUUUAACCUUUCCCUUCUCCCCUUUUUUCAUUGAGGUCUUCCGGUAUUUCGGGAUAACCCCUCGGAUGUUGGCUCCUAAUUCCAUUCUAUUCAUGUACUCAUUCGAGUCUAUUUGCCUGAGCUGGGGGUUCACGCCCACAGCGCGUCUGUUUGUUACCUUCUUUCGGCUAGUUAGGGCGAGUCAGGACUUUUACUAUUUUGCCCCCUGCGGAGGGCUGUCCAUAUUUUCGGGUCACAAGGACUCAAUAAAAGGCUGGGUAGAGGGGUUCGCAGUGAUAGAGCUGAAAAAGGACUCCGGGUUGUCUUGGGAGGUGGAGCUCUCUUGGGAGGAUGUCCCUCUAGGCUGCAACGAUCUGCCCCAGCUAAGCCUUUCUGAACAAGUCGGGUACCUUCAACUGACUUCUGUUGAGAAGAAAUAUGAUGUCGAAAAAUGCAUGUUUAUGUCUAGUCUUCAGGACUGCAGGGAUGCAGGUAUUUUGCUUCGUUUAAUUGCUUUGUUUCUCUUUUCUUGAUUUUCCUCGAAUGCUUUUUUAACUUGUUUGGUUUUGGGUCUCUGCAGCUUCUCAAGUACCUAUGGACAAGAUCAAGCCUCCCAAGAAUUUUACUCUGUCUCGGGAGAGCAUGAAAGCCGCCCUGGAUGCUUUCCGAGUUGGGCGGUCCAUGUCUGAAGCUACUCAUGAGGUGGCCCAGGUCAUUUUCUCCAGGUCGGCGGGCCGAUCUGUUGCCCCAGCUCCAGUUCUAUCUCGAGCUCCUAAGCCGAGCUCUAGGGGUGUUAGGGCCUCCAAGCCUUCCAGCCGCAGCAGGUCUAGCUCUCUUCCUCGAUCUUCCUAGGCCUCCGGAUCCCAACAGACCUCUAUUGCGAGGACGGAGGCUGUGCCCAAGGUAACUGACAAGCUAGUUGAGGACCUGGGGCUUGCGAGGGCGGAUGCUGCUCCAUCUUUUGGGGAUGCCCUUGAGGAGAGGUUCGAGGUCUUUCCAACAGAAGGGGGGGGCUCCCGAGGGUGAGAUGGAGGUCGUCUCGACUGGUGAGGGUGUCUAAGAAGCUGGUGCCGAGGUCGCACCUGUCAAUAAGGGAAUCCCUAAGGAGAGGGCUAAGUCCAAGUCAGUUGAUGCUCUUCCUCACCGGAAGAAGACCUCGGCUGCCAGUGAGGUUGUUGCUAAGGAGGCCACUGGCAAGCGAGCUCUACCAGUGGGCCACCUGUCUCUGUCAUACGGAUACGUAUGUACAAAAGCGUCAGACAUCUGCUCCAUGUUAAACGACCAUUUAAUUUUCCCCCUGGCACGCGUGUAAACAAAUCUACUAGGUAGAUGGACCGGUUAUCACCUCUCCUGCCAAGGCAGGCCCGAUUUCAAGGCCAAAUGGUCUGGACCGACCCAUUUAAGAGAUUUCGUGAAUCUUGGACUAAAGCUGUCAUUAUGGGCUCGACCUUGUAUCAUGGUGGUGAAACCUAGCUGCCAUCACUUAUCAUAUUCACUUGAGCAAUUGGAGGACUUCCUGUAA